RNAcentral lists this ribosomal RNA (788 nucleotides) under uncultured bacterium. Its description in RNAcentral is "bacterial SSU rRNA". It matches the Rfam family "Bacterial small subunit ribosomal RNA", at positions 8 to 796 of the family's 1533-position model. The record is from RNAcentral.
AGAGUUUGAUCAUGGCUCAGAAUAAACGCUGGCGGCGUGCUUAACACAUGCAAGUCGAGCGCGAAAGGCCUUCGGGCUGAGUAAAGCGGCGAACGGGUGAGUAACGCGUGAGAAUCUACCUUUUAGUGGAGAAUACCCUCGAGAAAUCGAGGUUAAUACUGCAUACGUCUAGAAAUAGAGAAAGAUGGCCUCUUUGCUGUCGCUGAAAGAUGAGCUUGCGUACUAUUAGCUAGUUGGUAGGGUAAUGGCCUACCAAGGCAAUGAUGGUUAGCCGGCCUGAGAGGGUGUACGGCCACACUGGAACUUAGACACGGUCCAGACUCCUACGGGAGGCAGCAGUGAGGAAUAUUGCGCAAUGGGCGAAAGCCUGACGCAGCGACGCCGCGUGGAGGAUGAAGGUCUUAGGAUUGUAAACUUCUGUUAAGUGGGAAGAAAAGCAGAGUUAUAAUACAGCUCUGUCAUGACGGUACCAUUAGAGAAAGCACCGGCUAAACUCGUGCCAGCAGCCGCGGUAAUACGAGUGGUGCAAGCGUUAUUCGGAAUGAUUGGGCGUAAAGGGUGCGCAGGCGGCAUGUUAAGUCAGCUGUUAAAUACUUCAGCCUAACUGAAGAUCGGCGGCAGAUACUGGCGUGCUAGAGGGUGGAAGAGAGAAGUGGAAUUCUUGGAGUAGCGGUAAAAUGCGUAGAUCUCAAGAGGAACACCGAUGGCGAAGGCAGCUUCUUGGUCCACAUCUGACGCUAAGGCACGAAAGCGUGGGGAGCAAACAGGAUUAGAUACCCUAGUAGUCC